Molecule: ribosomal RNA, 106 nt
Filed under: Haplochromis burtoni (Burton's mouthbrooder)
Lineage: Eukaryota; Metazoa; Chordata; Actinopteri; Cichliformes; Cichlidae
Source: RNAcentral
GCUUGCACCCAUUUGCUACUCUCGUCUGAUCUCGGAAGCUAAGCAGGGUCAGGCUUGGUCAGUACUUCAAUGGGAGACCGCCUGGGAAUACCAGGUGCUGUAAGCU